UUCCACUUAUAAAAGGUAACAGCGGGGAGUGUGGGUGCUCUGGGGAAAAGUGAUCGCAUCACCGCUGCUCAGGGCGCACAUCGCUUUGUGCUGGGAAAGUCUGACCCGCGAUAGUUUCUGCGUCACAGCGCGUGGCAGAAACGCACGUCGCUUGGGAAAGUCCAAGAACCGCUCUCGCUCAGGCCAGAACCUUACAGCAGGUCUUCAAACAUCAUGAGGGGAGAGAGAGGACGCCGUGGGGGACCAACUGGAGGGCAAGUGGGAUUGGGGGAGUAGUAAGCAGGGGUGUCAGGGUACCAGCUGGGAUCCCCGGAUAAAUGUGUAUUUUGCAGUACAGGGAGGUGGCCGCCCUGCCCUCUCGCUCUCCUUCUCUAGGGAAACGUGCCACUCAGGCUCCCUUUUCCGACUCUCUGGAACCCCAUGGGUGGUAGAAACCCCAGAACUGAAAUCUCGUCUGAGCAGCCUGUCUAAGCUCUCCCCCAGUAUUGCUGCUUCCUGGGGCCACCCCGCCAGCAGGGUGCAGAAUCGGACUGCGCCGCACCCCCACUGCUAGUUUCCUCCCUAAUUCAAAGCGUCCGGGGCAGGCUCCGCCCUCUUCCCCGCCCCCGGAGCCCUCGGCCCACCCUUCCGUUCCUAGGACGGGACCUGUUCCCUGUCAAUCCAGUUCGGCCUCAGGGUUCCUGGCGCGUGAAAAAAAAAGGCCCUGAGAGAUCGCGGGGACUCUAGAUUACGCACCGCCCUCCACGACACACAGAAGGAACUCCCCGUACCCGAGGCUGGGGAUCCUCAGCCCACACGCCCGACUCAAGACGCGCCAAUAAGGACUCGGGUCCUCCCUGCGCUCAGCUGCUCCGCUCCUGGGCGGUGGAGCUUGCUGCAAGGAAGGGCAACGCUCCCCGACUUUGGAAACCGACUUCCCAACCGCCUACCGGCUGAGGGGAACGCGCAGCUGAGCCGAGUUCGGACCCUAGAAAGCUCCGAAGCAUCCAGAACCCCCCGGGAGCGGAUGCGUGCGCUCCUCUCGAGUUCUCUGGACAGAUAUUUGCUGAACACCCACUAUGUGCCAGAAACAGUGCUAGGCGCUGAGGAUAUACCGUUCGGAGCCAGAGAAUGAAAAGUCAAAAUACGUAAGAUUACAGAUCGUGACAAAUACUCUGAAUAAAAUAAAACAUUCUGCUA
This is a non-coding RNA of Vicugna pacos (alpaca), 1179 nucleotides long. The record is from RefSeq and is a predicted model, not a curated record. Lineage: Eukaryota; Metazoa; Chordata; Mammalia; Artiodactyla; Camelidae.